CCCAUCCUAGAUCAGACUUGCUCGGGGAAGACUAAGCGGAAGUCUCUACGUUCCUAUAGAAAGCUGGCUAGGGGCGAGGGGUGUCAUGGCGGCGGACAGUGACGAUGGUGUGCCUUCAGUUCCAACGCCCUCUGACGGUGAGCGGCUUCCCAAGAGUGGCCCCAGAAGCCUAAGGGGUCCUAUGGAGGGAAAAGCCUCGGGUUGGUAGUUCGGAAACAGGCCUGUAGCUUCUGUUUGCCUCAGCUCUCCUGGACUACAAAUCCCAGUGUGCAGCGCCUGCAACUGCAAAACCCGAAUUGUUGGAUUGUAGAGCGGUGAGGGUGAGUUGGGAGGUGUGGUUUGGAUCGAGCCCAGUGGUUGUCAAUAGGUAAUACCAGAGCACUGUGUACUCGUCCAUGGUAAGUGGAGCUUGAGUCUAACUUUGAAGCACUCUAGUAGCUGUUGAAGCACCGUGUAUAUGUGACUUUAUGGGAUCUGUUUGUGUUUGAGAUAGGGGCUUGCUUGCUCUGUAAUUCAGACUAGCCUUGAAGUCAGGGUCCUUUAGCUUUCUGCUCUCUAGUCCUGGGGUUACAGGCUGGAGGAUAAAGAACCCUCAAAGAAUAUCUAGUCCACUUUUCUCCUGAUUAUGAUGCAAAAGGGAAAUGAUUUCCACGUAAAGGCACUGGAAGACACAGAUGCCCUCUUUCCAAAUUUAAGGCACAGUCUGUUUGAAGGCUUGUGCUUAGAGUCAGUGGAUGCAAAAUCUUUAGGGGAAAACUUGUCAGUGGGCACCCCUCUCCCAAAUCUAGCUUGGUGUUUGACCCACCAGGAUCUUAUGAAAACAUCUAAAUCCCUCAAUGUCCUUAUGCCCAGGUGGUGUCAACAGAACCACACAAUCUGCAGAGGAGUUUGUAGUUCGGGUUCCCGUGGUAGAUGUGCAGAGUGACAACUUCAAGGAGAUAUGGCCAUCACUCUUGCUAGCCUUAAAGACAGCUAGCUUUGUGGCGGUGGACACGGAGCUGAGUGGCCUUGGGGAUAGGAAGAGUUUGCUGAACCAGUAAGUAUAAGCCUUGUCUGUAAUUCCAGCUCUAACACAUAUGUAGAUCUCAACCCUAGAGUUAGGUGGGGUAGUUUGGAUCCUUUGUGAAACUAACUCAGCCAUAGCCAUGCCCAAACCCAACUCUAAGGUGCAUCGAGGAACGUUAUAAGGCCGUGUGUCAUGCUGCCAGGACCCGUUCUGUCCUGUCCCUGGGCCUCGCCUGCUUCAAGCAGCAACCAGAUAAGGUAUGAAUUACCCCCCUCAUCCCAGGUCCGAGGCAUGGGGCCUAAGAGUUGAGAUCUUAAAGAAGGUUGAGGCUUUUCCCCCAGUUUUUGGGAAAGCAGAUCCUCGUGUGUUUCAGGGUGACAGUUCUUACUUGGCUCAAGUGUUCAAUCUCACCCUACUGUGCAUGGAGGAGUAUGUUAUAGAACCGAAGUCAGUACAGUUCCUGGUACAGCAUGGCUUCAACUUCAACCGGCAGUAUGCUCAGGGGAUCCCCUACCAUAAAGGCAAUGACAAGGGAGAUGAAAGCCAGAGCCAGUCAGUACGGACACUGUUCCUUGAACUAAUUCGAGCCCGGCGGCCGC
RNAcentral lists this long non-coding RNA (1605 nucleotides) under Rattus norvegicus (Norway rat). RNAcentral's name for it is "long non-coding RNA NONRATT023499". Lineage: Eukaryota; Metazoa; Chordata; Mammalia; Rodentia; Muridae. The record is from RNAcentral.